GGGAAUCUUGCGCAAUGGGCGAAAGCCUGACGCAGCAACGCCGCGUGCGGGAUGAAGGCCUUCGGGCUGUAAACCGCUUUCAGCAGGAACGAAAAUGACGGUACCUGCAGAAGAAGGAGCGGCCAACUACGUGCCAGCAGCCGCGGUGACACGUAGGCUCCAAGCGUUGUCCGGAUUUAUUGGGCGUAAAGAGCUCGUAGGCGGUUUAGUAAGUCGGGUGUUAAAACUCUGGGCUCAACCCGGAGAGGCCAUCCGAUACUGCUGUGACUUGAGUUCAGGAGGGGAGCGGGGAAUUCCUAGUGUAGCGGUGAAAUGCGCAGAUAUUAGGAGGAACACCGGUGGCGAAGGCGCCGCUCUGGACUGAAACUGACGCUGAGGAGCGAAAGCAUGGGUAGCAAACAGGAUUAGAUACCCCGGUAGUCCGG
This 425-nucleotide ribosomal RNA is filed under the name actinobacterium SCGC AAA024-D08. Its description in RNAcentral is "bacterial SSU rRNA". It matches the Rfam family "Bacterial small subunit ribosomal RNA", at positions 357 to 798 of the family's 1533-position model. The record is from RNAcentral. Lineage: Bacteria; Bacillati; Actinomycetota; Actinomycetes.